Molecule: transfer RNA, 75 nt
Filed under: Sphingomonas morindae
Lineage: Bacteria; Pseudomonadati; Pseudomonadota; Alphaproteobacteria; Sphingomonadales; Sphingomonadaceae
Description: tRNA-Val
Rfam family: tRNA
About the family: Transfer RNA (tRNA) molecules are approximately 80 nucleotides in length. Their secondary structure includes four short double-helical elements and three loops (D, anti-codon, and T loops).
Source: RNAcentral
GGGCGGUUAGCUCAGCGGUAGAGCGGCUCGUUUACACCGAGCGGGUCGGCAGUUCGAUCCUGUCACCGCCCACCA